This 305-nucleotide ribosomal RNA is filed under the name uncultured bacterium. RNAcentral's name for it is "bacterial SSU rRNA". It matches the Rfam family "Bacterial small subunit ribosomal RNA", at positions 334 to 637 of the family's 1533-position model. The record is from RNAcentral.
UGACCCUACGGGGCGCAGCAGUGAGGAAUAUUGGUCAAUGGCCGAGAGGCUGAACCAGCCAAGUCGCGUGAGGGAAGACGGCCCUACGGGUUGUAAACCUCUUUUGUCGGAGAGCAAAGCGAGUCACGUGUGACUCAUUGAGAGUACCCGAAGAAAAAGCAUCGGCUAACUCCGUGCCAGCAGCCGCGGUAAUACGGAGGAUGCGAGCGUUAUCCGGAUUUAUUGGGUUUAAAGGGUGCGCAGGCGGAGGUGCAAGUCAGCGGUCAAAUUGCGGGGCUCCACCCCGUACUUCCGUUGAAACUGCC